This 956-nucleotide ribosomal RNA is filed under the name uncultured bacterium. RNAcentral describes it as "bacterial SSU rRNA". It matches the Rfam family "Bacterial small subunit ribosomal RNA", at positions 532 to 1500 of the family's 1533-position model. The record is from RNAcentral.
UCGCAAGCGUUAUCCGGAUUUACUGGGCGUAAAGAGUGCGCAGCUGGUCUAUCAAGUNUGAUGUUAAAGUCUGGAGCUCAACUCCAGUCCNCAUUGGAAACUAGUAGACUCGAGUUAUAGAGAGGUAAGUGGAAUUCCUAGUGUAUCGGUGGAAUGAGUAGAUAUUAGGAGGAACACCAGUGGCGAAGGCGACUUACUGGCUAUAUACUGACAGUCAUGCACGAAAGCGUGGGGAGCAAACAGGAUUAGAUACCCUGGUAGUCCACGCCGUAAACGUUGAGUACUAGGUGUUGGCCAUAAGGGCAGUACCGCAGCUAACGCAUUAAGUACUCCGCCUGGGUAGUAUGCACGCAAGUGUAAAACUCAAAGGAAUUGACGGGGACCCGCACAAGCGGAGGAGCAUGUGGUUUAAUUCGAUGCAACGCGAAGAACCUUACCAGGACUUGACAUACUAUGCGAAGCUAUAGAGAUAUAGUGGAGGUUAACAUAGAUACAGGUGGUGCAUGGUUGUCGUCAGCUCGUGCCGUGAGGUGUUUGGUUAAGUCCAGUAACGAGCGCAACCCCUAUCAUUAGUUACCAUCAUUUAGUUGGGGACUUUAAUGAGACUGCUAGUGCAAACUAGAGGAAGGUGGGGAUGACGUCAAAUCAUCAUGCCCCUUAUGUCCUGGGCUACACACGUGCUACAAUGGGUGAUACAAAGCGCAGCUAACCGGCGACGGUACGCAAAUCGCAAAAAGUCACUCCCAGUUCGGAUCGCAGGCUGCAACUCGCCUGCGUGAAGUCGGAUUCGCUAGUAAUCGCAAGUCAGCAAUAUUGCGGUGAAUACGUUCCCGGGUCUUGUACACACCGCCCGUCAAACCACGGAAAUCGGAAAUACCCAAAGUCACUGUCCUAACUUUUAGAGGGAGGUGCCUAAGGUAGGUUCGGUGACUGGGGUUAAGUCGUAACAAGGUAAC